ACACUCCUACGGGAGGCAGCAGUGGGGAAUAUUGCACAAUGGGCGCAAGCCUGAUGCAGCCAUGCCGCGUGUAUGAAGAAGGCCUUCGGGUUGUAAAGUACUUUCAGCGGGGAGGAAGGCGAUAAGGUUAAUAACCUUGUUGAUUGACGUUACCCGCAGAAGAAGCACCGGCUAACUCCGUGCCAGCAGCCGCGGUAAUACGGAGGGUGCAAGCGUUAAUCGGAAUUACUGGGCGUAAAGCGCACGCAGGCGGUCUGUCAAGUCGGAUGUGAAAUCCCCGGGCUCAACCUGGGAACUGCAUUCGAAACUGGCAGGCUAGAGUCUUGUAGAGGGGGGUAGAAUUCCAGGUGUAGCGGUGAAAUGCGUAGAGAUCUGGAGGAAUACCGGUGGCGAAGGCGGCCCCCUGGACAAAGACUGACGCUCAGGUGCGAAAGCGUGGGGAGCAAACAGGAUUAGAAACCCGAGUAGUCCC
Molecule: ribosomal RNA, 472 nt
Filed under: uncultured organism
Description: partial 16S ribosomal RNA
Rfam family: Bacterial small subunit ribosomal RNA
Source: RNAcentral